Molecule: long non-coding RNA, 413 nt
Filed under: Theobroma cacao (cacao)
Lineage: Eukaryota; Viridiplantae; Streptophyta; Magnoliopsida; Malvales; Malvaceae
Description: long non-coding RNA (TCAC_LNC001974)
Source: RNAcentral
GGGUAAUGAAUAUUUACCGAGACUUCGCGGUGGUUGUCACGGGCUUGAAGGGAGUGCUGGGUCUUGACAGUUUAGAUGGUAUCUGUUUACUCACUGGCAUUUUAUAAUCUCACCACCCUCAUUUCCAACCAUUUCAGGCCCAAGGUAGCUUGUGGAUAGCAGAUAUCGUCAAGGAUUAUAGUCGGCUUUACUACUCCAAAAACUGUAAGUUUAUUGCCUUUGUGUACUUUUGUUCCUUGUGGGCCCACGAGUCACUGUAAAGUAAAUUUUAUAUCCCGGUUAUCUAUGUUAUAGUACGUAUGAAUUUAUUUAGUUUUAUAUUGCAAAAAUUAUUUACCGAUGACUCUAUAAAUAUUGUUUUACAAGAAAUUAUAAUAUUUUAUUGAAUAUUUUUAUUUUAUUCAAAUAGUUGC